Long non-coding RNA from Columba livia (rock pigeon), 819 nucleotides. RefSeq lists it as uncharacterized. Lineage: Eukaryota; Metazoa; Chordata; Aves; Columbiformes; Columbidae. The record is from RefSeq and is a predicted model, not a curated record. The transcript has 3 exons.
GUUCAGACGAGGCUCCGCGGCCAAAGUCCUGGAAAAGCCAGAGGAGGAAGAGCGCGGGGACAAGAAGGAGCUUGUCUUCGGAGAGUACAAGCCCUCGAUGGGCUCCAGGCCCGCGGUCCAGCCGGCGAUGGGGCAGUUGGUGAGGUUUUCUGCCAACAGCAGCAGCAGCAGCAAACAGAAUGCAGAACCCGCUCCACACCUCGUCCUCCUUGCAGACGGAACCCCGUGCGGAGGAGAAGGGCCGGAGACGACUGGCUGGGCUGGGAGGAUGAGGAUUUCAUGGACCCGUCCCAGCCAAGGGCAGCAGCCAGCUCGGGGCUGCAGAGCAGGCAGCGGCUAAACCCGACCCGACGGACUGGCUGAUCGAUGCCUUGGCUCGCAGGAGAGCCGAAGAACAGGCCAAGGCACAGGAGAAAAUGGCCGAGCCCAUGGAGACCUAGGAGAAGAAAGCCAAGCCCUCAGAGACUGAGGAGAAGAAGGCCGAGCCCUCGGAGGCCCAAGAGAAAAGGAACGAACCCUCGGAGGCCCAAGACACAACGGCCGAGCCCUCAGAGACCGCGGGCGAAGGGCUGGGUCCCCGCUGUCCCGGCAGGUAAAGGCCCGGUCAAUGGCCGCAGCGCUGCCGUCUGCUCCACGUGUGGCUGCUGCAGCAGCAGCUCUCAGCAGCGCUUGCCUCAGAUUGACCCAAUUCGUGUUAAGCACUUUCUCGUAUCCAGUUGGGGUAAUGCCGCGGGUCUUUGUCCCGCUGAUCCAGCCCGCAGUCCCGUUCCCCUCGGCAGGUUCAGACUUGUGCCGUCCCAAUGGGGCUCAGAAGGGAAU